This is a long non-coding RNA of Vigna angularis (adzuki bean), 552 nucleotides long. RefSeq lists it as uncharacterized. The transcript has 4 exons. The record is from RefSeq and is a predicted model, not a curated record. Lineage: Eukaryota; Viridiplantae; Streptophyta; Magnoliopsida; Fabales; Fabaceae.
AUUUAGAGCACCUUGUGAUUCCAGUGUUUUUACUUUUAAAGCAACAAAUUAUUUCUUUAUCAUUUUGUGCCUUGAAAUUUGGGAAUGAAAAUUAGAAUUUCUAAAACACUCUCUCAAUUUUUAUCUAAAUAUAGCCUUAACUCACCAGAUUGGGGACCUAACUUUGAUAUCUAAAACACCAGAUUAGUCUAGUGUCUCUUGCAGCAGAUGGGCUGACUUUGAAAUCUAGAGUUAGGAAUAUAAAUGGCAAGCCAUUUAGUUUCUCAUUCGCAUAUCACACAUAGUUAUUGGUUUCUGACAUUAGAUGCCCUUAAAGGCGUCAGAGAGGGAUGUAUAUGAACUCUUCUCAAAAGCUAGCAAGGUAAAGGACGUCUGUCUAAUCAUGGAUAGGAACUCAAGACGAUCAAAAGGAGUUGGAUCUUUAAUGAUUCAUCUCCAAUGUAAGCUCCAGACAUUAAAAACAUUAGAAUCAAGUGGGCUUCUCUUAUUUUAAGUGUUAGUAAAUUGUAGAAACUUGACUACAAUGUAAUGUAGGUUAAUGUUAUAUUUGGA